Molecule: ribosomal RNA, 301 nt
Filed under: uncultured bacterium
Lineage: Bacteria
Description: partial 16S ribosomal RNA
Rfam family: Bacterial small subunit ribosomal RNA
Source: RNAcentral
CAGUAGCCGCGGGAACACGGAGGGUGCAAGCGUUAAUCGGAAUUACUGGGCGUAAAGCGUGCGUAGGCGGUUUGUUAAGUCUGUUGUGAAAGCCCCCGGCUCAACCGGGGAGGGUCAUUGGAAACUGGGAAACUUGAGUGCAGAAGAGGAGAGUGGAAUUCCACGUGUAGCGGUGAAAUGCGUAGAGAUGUGGAGGAACACCUGAGGUGAAGACGGGUUGCUGGGCUGAUACUGACGCUGAGGCGCGAAAGCUAGGGUAGCAAACGGGAUUAGAUACCCCGGUAGUCCCUGUCUCUUAUAC